This is a long non-coding RNA of Haemorhous mexicanus (house finch), 196 nucleotides long. RefSeq lists it as uncharacterized. NCBI's taxonomy places the organism in Eukaryota, Metazoa, Chordata, Aves, Passeriformes, Fringillidae. The transcript is spliced from 3 exons. The record is from RefSeq and is a predicted model, not a curated record.
CCAGCCAGGGGAGUGACAGCGAGUGACAGCCAGUCCACAUGGCUGGGGACACCGGGAUGGCCGGGAAGGUGGCACUGCUCCUGUGGGCCCAGACCCUCGGCCUCGCUGGCAUCCAGACCACCCAGAUCCUUGUGGAACCCCCCUGGACACUGCCAGUGCUGUGGGGCCAGGUGACACUGACCAGCCAGGGCUUGGG